UAACGUCUUGGUCCUAAACUUAAUGCUGCUUAACAACUACUAUUACACAUGCAAGCAUCCACACACCAGUGCCUAUGCCCAAGUAAACCAUAAACGGAGCCAGUAUCAGGCACGCUAGACUAGCAGCCCAGAACAUCUAGCAAAUGCCACACCCCCAAGGAACUCAGCAGUGAUAAACAUUAGGCAAUAAGCUACCUGCUUGACCUUGAUAUAGUCACACCAGAGCCGGUAAACCCCGUGCCAGCCACCGCGGUUACACGGGGGGCUCAAAGCAACCACUCACGGCGUAAAACGUGACUAGAGACCAAAACUUACACCAAGGACACAAAACUACAAUAAAAUUGUAAAACACUUAUAUACACAACCCAACCAACAACUGUCCAAAAACUAGGCCACACUUGACCACACGAAAGCCAGGACACAAAUUAGGAUUAGAUACCCUACUAUGCUUGGCCGUAAACCCCGAUAGUCUAAUAACCCACUAUCCGCCAGAGAACUACCAGCGAAAAGCCAGAAACUCAAAGGACUUGACGGUGUCCCACACCACCCUAGAGGAGCCUGUCACAUAAUCGAUAUACCACGCUCUACCUCACCAACUCUAGCCUCCGCCCGCCUAUAUACCGCCGUCGCCAGCUUACCCCAUGAGGGCCAGAACAGUAAGCAUAAUAAUCUGCCACUAAAACGUCAGGUCAAGGUGUAGCUAAUGAGUUGGAGCACGAUGGGCUACAUUUUCUUAUAAAGAAAACUACAAACCACAAUAUGAAAACCCUGCCACAAGGAGGAUUUAGCAGUAAAUCUGGCAAGCCUGCCACAUUGAAACUAGCCAUGGGACGCGUACACACCGCCCGUCACCCUCAUCUAAACAACCAAGACAACAAUAACUUAAGCCCCCCAACCAAACAAAGAUGAGACAAGUCGUAACAUGGUAAGCGUACUGGAAAGUGCGCUUGGACAC
RNAcentral lists this non-coding RNA (955 nucleotides) under Cyrtodactylus pulchellus (Malayan forest gecko). RNAcentral describes it as "12S ribosomal RNA". It matches the Rfam family "Bacterial small subunit ribosomal RNA". Lineage: Eukaryota; Metazoa; Chordata; Lepidosauria; Squamata; Gekkonidae. The record is from RNAcentral.